UUGGCCCCACUGUGCACCACACACUCCUUUCCCAGCCCAGGGGCACGCGAACAAAAUGAGGCUCAAGCUGACCAGGCCGAGCCGGAGGAACGCUGGGGCUUGGCAGCAGAAGGGAUGGGACCAGAGAGAAGGGUGUGGAGGAGACCCCAGUGAGGGCCAGGACAUUUCAGGUAAAGAGAGGUCAUAUCUCCGUACCUCACUUCCUGACACAAACAAGUUUUCACUGUUGUCAGCAACAAAGCCCUAAUAUAGCUGCGGAAGAGAAAAACUGCAUUGCAUUUUGCCUCCUGCAAGCAUCAUCAACAGUUACUGGAGGAACGUAAUUCCAGAAAGCUUGAAAGCCGUGGUGAUGGUAAUUAUGUAUCAAAUGCCUGGUUCUAUUUCUGUUAUUAUUGUUUUGUCAUUUCUGUUUUCCCAGCGAUCUGACUGAACUCGCAGAGGGACAAAUCCAGUUUUUCUUUUUGACUUUUGUCAAACUAAAUCAGGCCUGAUAGAAAACUCAUUGCUCUCCGGGGAAACAAAGUAGGAGCCACGAAAUGUCAUUUUAACAGAGCGUGGGUUUGGUGACUGUAGGAAAGGAUUUGAGGACGCUCCUUCUGUUCGGCUUCCUAUGUCAUGAGCACAGGCUCCACGCACGCACAGACACCACGGCUCCCGGAUGCUGUGGCUCCCCGAUCGGGGCUCCUGCAGCGCCAGAAGCCCCUCCGGGAUGCUUCGAGGGGCUCCCGGUGGGUGGAGGUACGGACGCCGCUGCGGCCGCCGCCGCCAGUCCUGCUGCUGUUGUUGCUGCUGCAGUCACGUGGGAGCCCCUUUAAGUUUCCAUAGAGAGGCCUCUCUGGUGUCACAUGAUGGACAUGAUAUAAUGAAACAACAUUGUGGAGAGGAAAGCAUUAGGGGAGCCCACGGCUACAAAAACAAGUGAGUGAGAAGAGGUGGGAGGAAGAGAAACUACGCCACCUCCCCUGCAGCCGAGUGCACGCAGCAGCCUGGCGUGACAAGUGGGCGACGCCGGGGGGCAGGGAGCCGGGGUCCUUGGCCCUGGCCGGGGACCCCACCGCCCACCGCGCGGAGGACAACUUUUAGCCGGCAGCCCAGACCAGCGCGGCACCUGUCUCCGGAGUCUCCACCGCUCCUCCCGAUUCAUCCCAGGGAAAUUCUCAAGAAUACGCUCUACAAAUCUACGUGCGCAUCAUUUUCACCUCGCGUCGCGCCCGGGAGGAAGGAACGAGGCAAGGAGCUAAAGCAGCGUGCGUUCAGCCCUGGGGCAUUUUAUUAAUGCUUUUACGAGUUAGAAGAGUUGGGAUAAUUUGCCAUCUGGAGUUUCUCUGCCUUGCUGAUCUGAGCUCAGACCUGCCAAUUUACCAGAGAUAAUUGAUAACACCCUGUAACAGCUGAGAGGAAAAUGGAAGAAACGGAGAUACUUUUAGUGAAGCAGAAUAAACCACUGAACAGUCUGUUUCAUCUUCAUAAAAACGCUGCUUUCAGUGCACUGGAUUUAUUUUACAACCCACUAAUGGAUUACCCUACAGUUUGAAAAACAUUGCGUUAGACCAGUUUGACUGUUGUCAAGAACCAAAAAAGGAAAAAUGAGGAAGCUGUGAGUACCAGUGGAAGGAACGAGCCAGGAAGAGGGACUGGAACCAUCUCAGAAGCCAUGCCCCUCAGGCUGGAACUUGCCCUGUCUCCUCGCAGAUGAGGUAGGAGGCUCAGCACGGGCUGGUGGGAGCAGCCCACAGCAGCAGUGAGGGUCAGUGGGCCUGUGAGUUAAGAAGAAGGUGGCACAGAGCGAGGGUCUCUGGAUCCUGACUGUUUGACUUUUCCAUGAUUAGGAUAAGUAGCCAGGGCUUGGCUAGUUGGAGAGUUACUCGAACCUCAGGUGACAGUUGUAAGGCAGCACAUAGUGAAAAAGAGUCCUAGCCUGGGAAAGUCCAAAACCUUAGGUCUGGUUUCAGUUCACUCACCUAUCUCUGUGACAUAGCAAAGUCUGUUAAUUUCUCUAAUUUUCUGAUUAGUAGUAUAGUUGCAGGAAUGAAAUAAAAAUGGUCCUGAUUACUCAGAGAUUCAUUUACUGAUUACUCUUUUUGUGACCUGAAUAAAGAGUACAACAUCUCUCAAAAGGUAACAAUAUGAUGUUUCAGGAAAUUAGAGAAGUUAAGAGACUUUGCUGUAUUUACUAUACAGAUAGUUGACUGACAGCUGAGCCCGGACCCAAGAUUCAUUUAUAAAAUGAAGGAGUUGAGAAGUACAUACUCUGAGGUUUAUCCUAAAUAAACUGAAGUCUAGGCAAGUGGCUGAGCUAGGUUUGCCAUGAAUCAAUCUGCUGAGUAUAUUUCUUGGUAACUAGUUCAUCUUUCCUUAAUUCAGUCAACAAAUAUGAUAUCAAGUUUAGUAAGAUGAUGACAGUUGUCAUGUAAUACUCCAUCUGGAAGAUUGUAUGCUUCUCAGCUUCCCUAACUUUUCUUAAUCUACCUUAAGCUUCCUUUCUGAAAGGUUUCUGUCUUUCCUAACAGUCUCUUCUUUCCGCCAGCUACCUCUUGUGUUUAAGAAUUAAAGGAAGAUGAGCUAGGAAUCAAGAAAUACGCAGAACUGAUUCCUGUCACUGGCGCCACCCUGCCACUUGCCCAGAGCUGUGGUAUAAAUUUUUUUAAUAGGCUGAAAUAAAAAUAUGAAUAGCAUUUUGGUAUUAAGCAUUAAAUUGAUAAAGGCUAUGAGAUACACCUGCUCUCAACCAUGUUAAUUUUUUAUUAUUGGUAUUAAUAAAUUAUUACUUACUAACAUAUUAACAAGAAUUGCAUUGAGAAACAAAGCAUCCACAGGCCAAAUCUUCUGAAUUUCAAAUGUUUAUAUUAAUGCGUUGUAUUCUAGAAAAGUAGAAUUGUCUUAAGUAGCUUUGUAAUAUAAAGUCAUCUAUCAGCCCAUUACACCUAUUAGAAUGUUUUAACCUUUAUUUCCCACUUUUUUGUUUCUAGACUGAGUGUACUUGGUCUGGUAUUUGUGGCAUAACUUACGGAACACAUAAGAAUGAUACAGAUACUAUUUAAUGAUGACCUAAUACAAGCUUAGAUAGCUAAGGUGAAAGCUUCUAUGGCCUUAACAUUUUCCUCUUGAAGAAUGUAUUUUCUGUAAUAAAAUACAGUGGCUACUUGAAAUCUAUAAACUUAUGUGAGGUCUGGAUAAAUCUGAGCAACUUUCUUCUUUGUGCUCCAGGAACCUACGCACUAUAUAUAUAAAUAAAGCUUAAGUAAACAUCACUGCAA
Molecule: long non-coding RNA, 3257 nt
Filed under: Homo sapiens (human)
Lineage: Eukaryota; Metazoa; Chordata; Mammalia; Primates; Hominidae
Description: non-protein coding LINC-PINT:6
Source: RNAcentral